This 428-nucleotide ribosomal RNA is filed under the name uncultured bacterium. RNAcentral describes it as "bacterial SSU rRNA". It matches the Rfam family "Bacterial small subunit ribosomal RNA", at positions 354 to 796 of the family's 1533-position model. The record is from RNAcentral.
GUAGGGAAUAUUGGACAAUGGGGGCAACCCUGAUCCAGCGACGCCGCGUGAGUGAUGAAGGCCUUCGGGUCGUAAAGCUCUGUUGCAGGGGAAGAACACAAUGACGGUACCCUGCUAGAAAGGAUCGGCUAACUUCGUGCCAGCAGCCGCGGUAAGACGAGGGAUCCUAGCGUUGUUCGGAAUUAUUGGGCGUAAAGCGGGUGCAGGUGGCUUGGUAAGUCAGAUGUGAAAGCCUGGGGAUUAACCCCAGAAGUGCAUUUGAUACUGCUGAGCUUGAGUGCUGGAGAGGCUAUUAGAAUUCCUGGUGUAGUGGUGAAAUACGUAGAUAUCAGGAGGAAUACCGGAGGCGAAGGCGGAUAGCUGGCCAGACACUGACACUCAGACCCGAAAGCGUGGGGAUCAAACAGGAUUAGAAACCCCAGUAGUCC